AACGAACGCUGGCGGCGUGCCUAACACAUGCAAGUCGAACGAGAAAGGGGCUUCGGCUCCGAGUCAAGUGGCGCACGGGUGAGUAACACGUGGGUAACCUGCCUCUAAGAUUGGGAUAACUCGUCGAAAGAUGAGCUAAUACCGAAUAAGACCACAGUUCCCGCGGGAACAGGGGUCAAAGGUAGCCUCUGCUUGCAAGCUAUCACUUAGAGAUGGGCCUGCGCACCAUUAGCUAGUUGGUAGGGUAACGGCCUACCAAGGCAAAGAUGGUUAGCUGGUCUGAGAGGAGGAUCAGCCACACUGGAACUGAGACACGGUCCAGACUCCUACGGGAGGCAGCAGUGGGGAAUAUUGCGCAAUGGGCGAAAGCUUGACGCAGCAACGCCGCGUGAGUGAUGAAGGCCUUCGGGUCGUAAAGCUCUGUCGGGAGGAACGAAUGCUCCUGAGGUUAACAGCCUCGGGAGGUGACGGUACCUUCAAAGGAAGCACCGGCUAACUCUGUG
RNAcentral lists this ribosomal RNA (503 nucleotides) under uncultured bacterium. RNAcentral's name for it is "partial 16S ribosomal RNA". It matches the Rfam family "Bacterial small subunit ribosomal RNA", at positions 29 to 507 of the family's 1533-position model. The record is from RNAcentral.